GAAAGAAGUUCCUGAGUGGGAGGCAGUACAGCAGGGAGAGGUGAGAAUGAGCCUCCAGGAACCAGGACUGGAAAUUCCCACUCUGCUGAGGAAUGCAGAGGCAUUCCUGGAGCUGCACAGAAGUACAUUGUCGAAGCCGGGAUGUCCCUGGGGAAACAUAGGCCACUUCCAGCAUCGAUGGUGUCAGGUCAGGUCCUCUGGGUAGAAGAAAUGGAGUCAGUUAGGAGUGCUGGAGACUGAGUAAGAGGUGGCAGCUGAGGCUUACUACCCCAGGAAAGGGAUGCCACCAGAGAAGGCAGACAACCAAGAUGGCGACUCUCAAUUUUUGAGCUCCUAAUUUUCUCAUGUCAGACAUAAGAAAAAAAAAAUAUUUUUUAAAGAAAAAGCUUUAGGUUGCAAAAAUCUAGGCCUUUCAACUUUAAAAUCCUAUUCUUGCAAGCCUUGGAGAAUAAAGCUUAUGCAUAAACAGUAGAUUUGGAAACAGAAAUAUGCCUAAUUACCCAGAGCCAUUCUUUCAAUACGCCAGUGAUUGUUUAAAGAUUCUAUAGGCUGGAGUCAAUGGCAGGAGGCGGGUGGGAAAAGAGUCAAGAGGGAGGAGAGAAGAAGCAAGAGGGUUGGGUAGAUAUUGUCACAUGACCCUGAGAGGAGGAUUCUGGGUCAAACCCCUAGGGGGUUGUGUGUAAUGGAGACUCCAGAUCCAUUUGGGAAUCUGGCUCCAAAGAAGACUUCACCUUGCCUUCUGAGUGGAGCCCUGAAGUGGCAAGACUCAUAGAAUUCCCCCACGGGUCCACACGAGAGAGAAUGAAUAGAGAAGGCUGCGUGCUGGCUGGACCAAGGCAGCC
Molecule: long non-coding RNA, 842 nt
Filed under: Pan troglodytes (chimpanzee)
Lineage: Eukaryota; Metazoa; Chordata; Mammalia; Primates; Hominidae
Description: long non-coding RNA NONPTRT009957
Source: RNAcentral